UCCAGAAGGUUUGAAAACUUGUUCAAGGUCAAGUUAGGAAGGAGCAGAACCAGGAUUUAAACUUGAACCUAAGUCUGUCUGAUUCUGAAACUCUAAGAACACAGUUUAUUCAACCAACCAACAUUUUAUGGACCGUCCGCCAUAUGCCAGCCACUGUACUUGGCACAGGCUUAGCACAGAAGAGCCCUGCACUCAGGGGACACGUGUUGAAAGAGGAACCCUAUUUGAGAUGGAAAGUCUUCUACCUACCACAGGAGGAAACCAAAUGACAUGGGCUCUAAGAGUGAAGAGGAGGGGAGGUAGGACCACACGCUGUUUCCUUUUCUUUCUUUCUUUUUCUUUUUUUAGCUACCCACGGCAUAUGGAGUUCCUGGGCCACGGAUCAGAUCUGAGCUGCAGUGUGCCCAGCCAGGAUCAAACCUUGGUCGAAGCACCUCGAAAACCAAUCUCCUUGUGACACAGCGGGAACUUCCAUGGGCUAUUUCUAAAAAGCCCCACCCCUGCCCCCGAAAAAGAGACCUCCAAUGAGGGGAUUUGCUUCAAGUGCACCAAGAAGGCUAUGUGGAUCCUUAACCUGGGCCCCUGGUCUUUUAAGGGGUCUGUGGCUAGAAUUCAAAGGGCUCAUGAACUUGGAUGGGGAAAACUGCAUCUUUCUUUUUUUUUGUUUUUUUCUUUUUAGGGUCUUGCCCAGGGCAUAUGGAGGUUCCCAGGCUAGGGGUCGAAUCGGAGCUGUAGCCGCAGGCCUAGGCCAGAGCCACAGCAACGCCAGACCUGAGCCGUGUCUGCGACCCACACCACAGCUCACGGCAAUGAAGGAUCCUUAACCCACGGAGCGAGGCCAGGGAUCGAACCUGCAUCCUCAUAGAUACUAGUCAGGUUCAUUAACUGCUGAGCCAUGAUGAGAACGUCUCUGUUCCCUUUUAAGGACAUUUUGGCACUUGCUUAAAUCGUGAAUGCGGGCCACGAUCCACCAUGAUCUUAGAAGGCCUGUGACUCGACCACCACCAGGAACCACACAGAUCGUCAUAACAUACUGAGUGACUCAAAGUAUCAACAUGCUCAUCACUGCUGUGAAAUUAUAAGUCUCACUGCUCUUUUAUUUACUGUGCUAGAAAUGGGGCACGUAGAUCACCAAUGUAAAAAAU
RNAcentral lists this long non-coding RNA (1145 nucleotides) under Sus scrofa (pig). Its description in RNAcentral is "lncRNA (ENSSSCG00065072115.1, ENSSSCG00070029560.1)". The record is from RNAcentral. Lineage: Eukaryota; Metazoa; Chordata; Mammalia; Artiodactyla; Suidae.